This 884-nucleotide ribosomal RNA is filed under the name Sistotrema sp. DL-2015. Its description in RNAcentral is "eukaryotic LSU rRNA". The stretch from base 76 to 229 matches the Rfam family "5.8S ribosomal RNA". The record is from RNAcentral. Lineage: Eukaryota; Fungi; Basidiomycota; Agaricomycetes; Cantharellales; Hydnaceae.
GCGGGUUCUCCCGCCAGAGGAUACAUCAAAACUCCUGUUUUAACGGUGUUGUCUGAGCUACAAGCAACGAAUCAAAACUUUCAACAACGGAUCUCUUGGUUCUGGCAUCGAUGAAGAACGCAGCGAAAUGCGAUAAGUAGUGUGAAUUGCAGAAUUCAGUGAAUCAUCGAAUCUUUGAACGCACAUUGCGCCCCUUGGUAUCCCGAGGGGCAUGCCUGUUCGAGCGUCAUUUCACCACUCAAGCCUGGCUUGGUGUUGGGCGACGUCCCCUUUAGGGACGCGCCUUGAAACGCUCGGCGGCGUGGCACCGGCUUUAAGCGUAGCAGAAUCUUUCGCUUUGAAAGUCGGGGCCCCGUCUGCCGGAAGACCUACUCGCAAGGUUGACCUCGGAUCAGGCAGGGAUACCCGCUGAACUUAAGCAUAUCAAUAAGCUGGAAUGGUUGUCUGCCGCAAGGCAAUAUUAAAUACAACUUUUAACGGCGGAUCUCUUGGCUCUCGCAUCGAUGAAAACGCAGCGAAAUGCGAUAAGUAAUGUGAAUUGCAGAAUUCAGUGAAUCAUCGAAUCUUUGAACGCACCUUGCGCUCCCUGGUAUUCCGGGGAGCACGCCUGUUCGAGUGUCAUGAAAUUCUCAAACAAGAUAGAUUUGUUUCUAUCUCUGUUUGGAUUUGGAUUUUGCCGCGUUAAUGCGGCUGGUCUUAAAUAUAUUAUCUGGUCCUAGAAAGGUUUGGUUUCUAAUCACCAUGAUAAUUAUCUGAUGUUGAGGGACAGUCUCACGACUGGCCACGACCUCUCUCUUAUGAUCGCUUGGAAUCGUCUUUGGACAAUUUACUCAAUAUUUGACCUCUAAUCACGUGGGAUUACCCCUCAACUUAACAUAUCAAUA